AUGAGGACGUGCAUCACGCCCUUGUCAUUUGUCCUCAUGCUGCGACUCUCUGGAAGGCUAUGCGAGAGCACUGGAGCGUUACUGACUCCUGCUGACCUUCGCGACGCUGAGCCAGAGUGGCUGUUCCGCCUACUAGAUAAAUUGCCGGAUGUGCAGAAGCUUGCUUCACUGAUGACCAUGUGGAGGAUUUGGUAUGCAAGAAAUGAUGUCACACAUUAUAAACCCCCGAUCCCGAUUGAGGCCUCACAGCGUUUCCGCUCGAGUUAUAUCACUUCUCUGCUUGCAAUACGGCAGCAUCCCGAAGUGGACUUAGCGAAGGAUAAGCAGGUGAUGAUUACUUGGGAAGCACGUCAAAUCAUCUUCGCCGUGACGUGGGUGCUCUUUAAUUCUGGUGAUCCUCAGGAAGCGGAGAUGGCGGCCAUGGAUGAAGGGCUUCGACUUGCGCUUCACUGGUCCAACUUGUCGUUAGUUGUGGAGACGGACUGCGCUGAGUUGUUGAAGAUGGUGCAAUCUAAAGAUGUUGAGCGAUCGAGUAACCCACGCAAGGGAAACUUUGACGAGCUGGACCUUUCAACAAGUAAAAAACCACCUGGCCUCAAAGUGACUCCCAUGAAAGAAUCCUGA
This 624-nucleotide ribosomal RNA is filed under the name Triticum aestivum (bread wheat). RNAcentral's name for it is "partial small subunit ribosomal RNA". The record is from RNAcentral. Lineage: Eukaryota; Viridiplantae; Streptophyta; Magnoliopsida; Poales; Poaceae.